GCAGGGCGCCACGUGCGGCAACCCGGAAGUGAUUGCUCCAGGGGUAGCGAUCACUCGGGUGCCCGGCAGUGAGAGGGGGUAUUCCACGAUGUCUCGAUAUUGAGGUAUUGUGUAAUACCUUUAGAGCGGCUGGAAGCGAUCACAUUCUUAGUAUCAUGCGCAUAUGAAAUAUACCCUGAUUAACAAUGAGUCACAAUGAGCCCCAUGUAUGUGACUGUCAUUCCUCUAUGUAGUCUUAGUGCAUAUAGCAUUAGUGAUCUGCAUUAUUAAAAUGUCAUAAAAACUGACCAUCUAUAUAUUAAACUUAUUUUGGGAUAUGAAUUGCCUCUUAAUUGCUGUAUUUUCUCUCUACCACUAGGUGGCAGUCCUUUAGAAUCCUUGAUUGCAUUUCUAGAAUGUAUUAUUUUAUUAUAAAACAGAGACAUAUUUUCAGUUUAGACAACAGGUAAACCAAACAACUGAUGACAAAUUAAGGAUUGCAGGAGCACAAUGUUUCCAUAGUCAAUAGCUUACAGUCUAUAAAUAACAGUGAUGUUACAGAAACACUAAAAUGAAAGCUAUCUAUAAGUGAGGAUAGUCUACAAGGUGUAUCGCCCGUAUACAGUAUGUCAAUAACCAUCUAUAUAUAUAUACUCACACAGUCACGGCUGAGGAAGAGGGUGUAAUAAGAAUGGUCCAGCAGUGGAAAGGUAAACUACAUCAGCUUCCUAAACGGCUCAGAACAGCCUGACAGUAACAUUUUAAUACACGUGUGUGUGAAUAUAUAAAUAUAUAUGCAAUAAGGAACACGUACAAGGGGUACAAGGGGAAUAGAGCAUCAUUUUACUUAAAGGAGAACUCCAACUACUAUAACCAGAAACGCCCUGAUAGCCCCCACUCCCUGAUGGACGCUGUCGCUAAUUAACUUCUGUUAGCUCUCCUGAGAUAAGACUUGCAGUGCAGGGUUUGCACACUGAGGUAAACACCACUGGGCAACAGAGCUUCUGAUUCCCCCUGAGCUGUAUUGGAGAUGGGGAGCGGUGCCUGGCAGACCCCCAGUAAGUUUAAACGUUGUGCUGUGCCAGGAGUGUCCCCAUAGGCGUGCGCAGCCUAUUGCAUUAGGGUGUGCACCCUAAAGCACAAACACACGCCGCGCGUGUGUGUGUGUGUGUG
Molecule: non-coding RNA, 1152 nt
Organism: Pelobates cultripes (western spadefoot toad)
Lineage: Eukaryota; Metazoa; Chordata; Amphibia; Anura; Pelobatidae
Source: the annotation of a GenBank genome assembly